This 85-nucleotide transfer RNA is filed under the name Ignavibacteria bacterium. Its description in RNAcentral is "tRNA-Leu". It matches the Rfam family "tRNA". Rfam says of the family: Transfer RNA (tRNA) molecules are approximately 80 nucleotides in length. Their secondary structure includes four short double-helical elements and three loops (D, anti-codon, and T loops). Lineage: Bacteria; Pseudomonadati; Ignavibacteriota; Ignavibacteria. The record is from RNAcentral.
GCGAGAGUGGCGGAAUUGGCAGACGCGCUAGACUUAGGAUCUAGUGCCGAAAGGUGUGGGGGUUCGAGUCCCCCCUCUCGUACCA